AGAGUUUGAUCAUGGCUCAGGACGAACGCUGGCGGCGUGCUUAACACAUGCAAGUCGAGCGGUAAGGCUCCUUCGGGAGUACACGAGCGGCGAACGGGUGAGUAACACGUGAGCAAUCUGCCCUUCACACUGGGAUACCCCCCGGAAACGGGAGCUAAUACCGGAUACGACCACUUCGGGCAUCCGAUGGUGGUGGAAAGUUCCGGCGGUGAAGGAUGAGCUCGCGGCCUAUCAGCUUGUUGGUGAGGUAAUGGCUCACCAAGGCUUCGACGGGUAGCCGGCCUGAGAGGGUGACCGGCCACACUGGGACUGAGACACGGCCCAGACUCCUACGGGAGGCAGCAGUGGGGAAUAUUGGACAAUGGGCGAAAGCCUGAUCCAGCAACGCCGCGUGAGGGAUGACGGCCUUCGGGUUGUAAACCUCUUUCAGCAGGGACGAAGCGAAAGUGACGGUACCUGCAGAAGAAGCACCGGCCAACUACGUGCCAGCAGCCGCGGUA
RNAcentral lists this ribosomal RNA (500 nucleotides) under uncultured Actinomycetes bacterium. RNAcentral describes it as "bacterial SSU rRNA". It matches the Rfam family "Bacterial small subunit ribosomal RNA", at positions 8 to 522 of the family's 1533-position model. Lineage: Bacteria; Bacillati; Actinomycetota; Actinomycetes. The record is from RNAcentral.